Molecule: RNase P RNA, 356 nt
Filed under: Acinetobacter nosocomialis
Lineage: Bacteria; Pseudomonadati; Pseudomonadota; Gammaproteobacteria; Moraxellales; Moraxellaceae
Description: RNase P RNA component class A
Rfam family: Bacterial RNase P class A
About the family: Ribonuclease P (RNase P) is a ubiquitous endoribonuclease, found in archaea, bacteria and eukarya as well as chloroplasts and mitochondria.
Source: RNAcentral
GAAGUGAGCCGGAUGGUCGCUGCUGUGGAGGUCUCCGUGACUGGAAGCAGGAGAGGAAAGUCCGGGCUUCAUAGGGCAGGGUGCCAGGUAACGCCUGGGCGGUGAAAGCCGACGGAAAGUGCAGCAGAGAGUAGACCGCCUCAUUCGUGAGGUAAGGGUGAAAGGGUGCGGUAAGAGCGCACCGCGUGUCUGGUAACAGUUCACGGCAUGGCAAACCCCACCAGAAGCAAGACCAAAUAGGAAUCCUAGGUGCGGCCCGUACUGGAUUCGGGUAGGUCGCUUGAGCGUAUGAGUGAUUGUACGCCUAGAGGAAUGACCAUCCUCGACAGAACCCGGCUUAUAGGCUCACUUCACCU